This 119-nucleotide ribosomal RNA is filed under the name Pteropus alecto (black flying fox). The record is from RNAcentral. Lineage: Eukaryota; Metazoa; Chordata; Mammalia; Chiroptera; Pteropodidae.
GUCUAUGGCCAUGCCACCCUGAACAAGCCCGAUCCCGACUGAUCUCAGAAGGUAAGCAGGGUCAGGCCUGGUUAGUACUUGGAUGGGAGACCACCUAAGAAGUCCAGGUGCUGUAGGCA